Molecule: ribosomal RNA, 309 nt
Filed under: uncultured bacterium
Lineage: Bacteria
Description: bacterial SSU rRNA
Rfam family: Bacterial small subunit ribosomal RNA
Source: RNAcentral
GAUGAACGCUGGCGGCGUGCUUAACACAUGCAAGUCGAACGCUGAAGCCCCAGCUUGCUGGGGUGGAUGAGUGGCGAACGGGUGGGUAACACGUGAGUAACCUUCCCUUGACUCUGGGGUAAGCCCGGGAAACUGGGUCUAAUACCGGAUACGACCUCCUGCCGCAUGGUGUGGGGGUGGAAAGAUUUAUCGGUUUUGGAUGGACUCGCGGCCUAUCAGCUUGUUGGUGAGGUAAUGGCUCACCAAGGCGACGACGGGUAGCCGGCCUGAGAGGGUGACCGGCCACACUGGGACUGAGACACGGCCCAG